This 77-nucleotide transfer RNA is filed under the name Sphaerodactylus townsendi. RNAcentral describes it as "tRNA-Ile". Lineage: Eukaryota; Metazoa; Chordata; Lepidosauria; Squamata; Sphaerodactylidae. The record is from RNAcentral.
GGAGAUGGGCUGUGGCUCAGUGGCUGAGCAUCUGUGUGAUAUGCAAGAAGUCCCAGGUUCGAUCCACGGUAGCUCCA